CCUACGGGAGGCAGCAGUGAGGAAUAUUGGUCAAUGGUCGGGAGACUGAACCAGCCAAGCCGCGUGAGGGAGGAAGGUACAGAGUAUCGUAAACCUCUUUUGUCAGGGAACAAAGACUGGGACGCGUCCCCGGAUGAGUGUACCUGAAGAAAAAGCAUCGGCUAACUCCGUGCCAGCAGCCGCGGUAAUACGGAGGAUGCGAGCGUUAUCCGGAUUUAUUGGGUUUAAAGGGUGCGCGGGCGGUCUGUUAAGUCAGCGGUAAAAGCUCGGGGCUCAACCCCGACCCGCCGUUGAAACUGGCAGUCUCGAGUUGGAGAGAGGUAUGCGGAAUGCGCGGUGUAGCGGUGAAAUGCAUAGAUAUCGCGAAGAACUCCGAUUGCGAAGGCAGCAUGCCGGCUCCACACUGACGCUGAGGCACGAAAGCGUGGGUAUCGAACAGGAUUAGAUACCCUUGUAGUC
Molecule: ribosomal RNA, 459 nt
Filed under: uncultured bacterium
Lineage: Bacteria
Description: partial 16S ribosomal RNA
Rfam family: Bacterial small subunit ribosomal RNA
Source: RNAcentral